This 457-nucleotide ribosomal RNA is filed under the name uncultured Actinomycetes bacterium. Its description in RNAcentral is "bacterial SSU rRNA". It matches the Rfam family "Bacterial small subunit ribosomal RNA", at positions 338 to 795 of the family's 1533-position model. Lineage: Bacteria; Bacillati; Actinomycetota; Actinomycetes. The record is from RNAcentral.
CCUACGGGUGGCAGCAGUGGGGAAUAUUGCACAAUGGGCGCAAGCCUGAUGCAGCGACGCCGCGUGCGGGAUGGAGGCCUUCGGGUUGUAAACCGCUUUUAUAGGGGGGCAAGCUAUGCCUGUGUGGUGUGGUGAGUGGACUUUAUGAAUAAGCACCGGCUAACUACGUGCCAGCAGCCGCGGUAAUACGUAGGGUGCAAGCGUUGUCCGGAUUUAUUGGGCGUAAAGGGCUCGUAGGCGGUUUGUUGCGUCUGGUGUGAAAGCUUACUGCUUAACGGUAGGUUGCGCUGGAUACGGGCAGGCUUGAGUGCAGUAGGGGAGACUGGAAUUCUCGGUGUAACGGUGGAAUGUGUAGAUAUCGGGAAGAACACCUAUGGCGAAGGCAGGUCUCUGGGCUGUUACUGACGCUGAGGAGCGAAAGCGUGGGGAGCGAACAGGAUUAGAUACCCUGGUAGUC